UACAGGGUGGGCAAGCGUUGUUCGGAAUUACUGGGCGUAAAGGGCUCGUAGGCGGCCAACUAAGUCCGACGUGAAAUCCCCAAGCUUAACUUGGGAACUGCGUCGGAUACUGGAUGGCUUGAAUUCGGGAGAGGGAUGCAGAAUUCCAGGUGUAGCGGUGAAAUGCGUAGAUAUCUGGAGGAAUACCGGUGGCGAAGGCGGCAUCCUGGACCGACAUUGACGCUGAGGAGCGAAAGCUAGGGGAGCAAACGGG
RNAcentral lists this ribosomal RNA (253 nucleotides) under uncultured bacterium. RNAcentral's name for it is "partial 16S ribosomal RNA". It matches the Rfam family "Bacterial small subunit ribosomal RNA", at positions 524 to 776 of the family's 1533-position model. The record is from RNAcentral.